GGGUUGGAGAUCCCGGUAUGAUGCCUGCCUUACUAGCAGGAUGUCGCGUGUUCAAAUCACGCCUCGCCCACCA
This 73-nucleotide transfer RNA is filed under the name Promethearchaeati archaeon. RNAcentral describes it as "Asgard group archaeon (marine sediment metagenome) tRNA-Val". It matches the Rfam family "tRNA". From Rfam's summary of the family: Transfer RNA (tRNA) molecules are approximately 80 nucleotides in length. Their secondary structure includes four short double-helical elements and three loops (D, anti-codon, and T loops). Lineage: Archaea; Promethearchaeati. The record is from RNAcentral.